GACGAACGCUGGCGGCGUGCUUAACACAUGCAAGUCGAACGGAAAGGCCCUGCUUUUGCGGGGUGCUCGAGUGGCGAACGGGUGAGUAACACGUGAGUAACCUGCCCUUGACUGUGGGAUAACUUCAGGAAACAGGGGCUAAUACCGGAUAGGAGCUCCUGCUGCAUGGUGGGGGUUGGAAAGUGUCGGCGGUGGGAGAUGGACUCGCGGCUUAUCAGCUUGUUGGUGGAGUAGGGGCUGACCAAGGCUUUGAAGGAUAGCCGGCAUGGGAGGGUGACCGGCGACAUUGGGACUGAGAUACGGCCCAGACUCCUACGGGAGGCAGCAGUGGGGAAUAUUGCAGAAUGGGCGGAAGCCUGAUGCAGCAGCGCCGCGUGCGGGAUGACGGCCUUCGGGUUGUAAACCGCUUUCGCCUGUGACGAAGCGUGAGUGACGGUAAUGGGUAAAGAAGCACCGGCUAACUACGUG
Molecule: ribosomal RNA, 468 nt
Filed under: uncultured bacterium
Lineage: Bacteria
Description: partial 16S ribosomal RNA
Rfam family: Bacterial small subunit ribosomal RNA
Source: RNAcentral